AUGGGAACGCGAAGAACCUUACCUAGACUUGACAUCUUCUGCAUUAAUCGUAAUGGAUGAAAUCCCUUCGGGGACAGAAUGACAGGUGGUGCAUGGUUGUCGUCAGCUCGUGUCGUGAGAUGUUGGGUUAAGUCCCGCAACGAGCGCAACCCCUAUUAUUAGUUGCUAACAUUAAGUUGAGCACUCUAGUGAGACUGCCCGGGGUUAACCGGGAGGAAGGCGGGGAUGACGUCAAAUCAUCAUGCCCCUUAUGUCUAGGGCAACACACGUGCUACAAUGGUGAGUACAGAUAGAUGCGAUACCGCAAGGUGGAGCCAAACUCUAAAACUCAUCCCAGUUCGGAUUGUAGGCUGCAACUCGCCUACAUGAAGUUGGAGUUGCUAGUAAUCGCGAAUCAGAAUGUCGCGGUGAAUACGUUCCCGGGUCUUGUACACACCG
Molecule: ribosomal RNA, 438 nt
Filed under: uncultured bacterium
Lineage: Bacteria
Description: bacterial SSU rRNA
Rfam family: Bacterial small subunit ribosomal RNA
Source: RNAcentral